This 492-nucleotide ribosomal RNA is filed under the name uncultured bacterium. Its description in RNAcentral is "partial 16S ribosomal RNA". It matches the Rfam family "Bacterial small subunit ribosomal RNA", at positions 29 to 507 of the family's 1533-position model. The record is from RNAcentral.
AGUGAACGCUGGCGGUAGGCCUAACACAUGCAAGUCGAACGGCAGCACAGUAAGAGCUUGCUCUUACGGGUGGCGAGUGGCGGACGGGUGAGGAAUACAUCGGCAUCUACUUUUUCGUGGGGGAUAACGUAGGGAAACUUACGCUAAUACCGCAUACGACCUACGGGUGAAAGCAGGGGAUCUUCGGACCUUGCGCGAUUGAAUGAGCCGAUGUCGGAUUAGCUAGUUGGCGGGGUAAAGGCCCACCAAGGCGACGAUCCGUAGCUGGUCUGAGAGGAUGAUCAGCCACACUGGAACUGAGACACGGUCCAGACUCCUACGGGAGGCAGCAGUGGGGAAUAUUGGACAAUGGGCGCAAGCCUGAUCCAGCCAUGCCGCGUGGGUGAAGAAGGCCUUCGGGUUGUAAAGCCCUUUUGUUGGGAAAGAAAAGCAGCAGGUUAAUACCCCGCUGUUCUGACGGUACCCAAAGAAUAAGCACCGGCUAACUUCGUG